This 252-nucleotide ribosomal RNA is filed under the name uncultured bacterium. RNAcentral's name for it is "partial 16S ribosomal RNA". It matches the Rfam family "Bacterial small subunit ribosomal RNA", at positions 524 to 776 of the family's 1533-position model. The record is from RNAcentral.
UACGAAGGGGGCUAGCGUUGCUCGGAAUCACUGGGCGUAAAGCGCACGUAGGCGGUUUGUUAAGUCAGGGGUGAAAUCCUGGAGCUCAACUCCAGAACUGCCUUUGAUACUGGCGAUCUUGAGUCCGGGAGAGGUGAGUGGAACUCCGAGUGUAGAGGUGAAAUUCGUAGAUAUUCGGAAGAACACCAGUGGCGAAGGCGGCUCACUGGUCCGGUACUGACGCUGAGGUGCGAAAGCGUGGGAGCAAACAGG